GUGAAUAUUAGGGCGUCCAACUUAACUUGGAGCCCGAACUCUCACUUUCUAACCCUGUGCAUCUGUUUCUGGUCAGUAGCUCUCUCGGGAGUGAACGCCAUUCACUUAAAAACACAAAGUCUAUGAAUGUAUAAAAUUUAUAACAAAACA
RNAcentral lists this unclassified non-coding RNA (150 nucleotides) under Rhodotorula paludigena. RNAcentral's name for it is "ITS1". The record is from RNAcentral. Lineage: Eukaryota; Fungi; Basidiomycota; Microbotryomycetes; Sporidiobolales; Sporidiobolaceae.